UGUUUCGGCUAGGGGGCCAUCCCGGCUUACCAACCCGAUGCAAACUGCGAAUACCGGAGAAUGUUAUCACGGGAGACACACGGCGGGUGCUAACGUCCGUCGUGAAGAGGGAAACAACCCAGACCGCCAGCUAAGGUCCCAAAGUCAUGGUUAAGUGGGAAACGAUGUGGGAAGGCCCAGACAGCCAGGAUGUUGGCUUAGAAGCAGCCAUCAUUUAAAGAAAGCGUAAUAGCUCACUGGUCGAGUCGGCCUGCGCGGAAGAUGUAACGGGGCUAAACCAUGCACCGAAGCUGCGGCAGCGACACUUUAGUGUUGUUGGGUAGGGGAGCGUUCUGUAAGCCGUUGAAGGUGUCCUGUGAGGGGUGCUGGAGGUAUCAGAAGUGCGAAUGCUGACAUAAGUAACGAUAAAGCGGGUGAAAAGCCCGCUCGCCGGAAGACCAAGGGUUCCUGUCCAACGUUAAUCGGGGCAGGGUGAGUCGACCCCUAAGGCGAGGCCGAAAGGCGUAGUCGAUGGGAAACGGGUUAAUAUUCCCGUACUUGGUGUUACUGCGAAGGGGGGACGGAGAAGGCUAUGUUGGCCGGGCGACGGUUGUCCCGGUUUAAGCGUGUAGGUGUGUGUUCCAGGUAAAUCCGGUUCACUUUAACACUGAGGCGUGAUGACGAGGCACCACGGUGCUGAAGCAACAAAUGCCCUGCUUCCAGGAAAAGCCUCUAAGCAUCAGGUAACAUCAAAUCGUACCCCAAACCGACACAGGUGGUCAGGUAGAGAAUACCAAGGCGCUUGAGAGAACUCGGGUGAAGGAACUAGGCAAAAUGGUGCCGUAACUUCGGGAGAAGGCACGCUGACACGUAGGUGAAGUGAUUUACUCAUGGAGCUGAAGUCAGUCGAAGAUACCAGCUGGCUGCAACUGUUUAUUAAAAACACAGCACUGUGCAAACACGAAAGUGGACGUAUACGGUGUGACGCCUGCCC
RNAcentral lists this ribosomal RNA (973 nucleotides) under Salmonella enterica. Its description in RNAcentral is "partial 23S ribosomal RNA". It matches the Rfam family "Bacterial large subunit ribosomal RNA", at positions 911 to 1864 of the family's 2925-position model. The record is from RNAcentral. Lineage: Bacteria; Pseudomonadati; Pseudomonadota; Gammaproteobacteria; Enterobacterales; Enterobacteriaceae.